Molecule: ribosomal RNA, 445 nt
Filed under: uncultured rumen bacterium
Lineage: Bacteria
Description: bacterial SSU rRNA
Rfam family: Bacterial small subunit ribosomal RNA
Source: RNAcentral
GGUAUGGGAUGAGCUUGCGUCCGAUUAGCUAGUUGGCGGGGCAACGGCCCACCAAGGCGACGAUCGGUAGCCGGCCUGAGAGGGUGAUCGGCCACAUUGGGACUGAGAUACGGCCCAGACUCCUACGGGAGGCAGCAGUAGGGAAUAUUGCACAAUGGGGGAAACCCUGAUGCAGCAACGCCACGUGUGGGAAGAAGCAUUUCGGUGUGUAAACCAUUGUCGUGAGGGAAUAAUGUUGGCUUUCGGGCCAAUUGAAUGUACCUUGAAAGGAAGCACCGGCAAACUUCGUGCCAGCAGCCGCGGUAAUACGAGGGGUGCAAGCGUUGUUCGGAAUUACUGGGCGUAAAGGGAGCGUAGGCGGAGAUUCAAGCGGAUUGUACAAUCCCGGGGCCCAACCCCGGCUCUGCAGUCCGAACUGGAUCUCUUGGAUAGUUCAGGGGCAGGC